This 490-nucleotide ribosomal RNA is filed under the name uncultured bacterium. Its description in RNAcentral is "partial 16S ribosomal RNA". It matches the Rfam family "Bacterial small subunit ribosomal RNA", at positions 29 to 507 of the family's 1533-position model. The record is from RNAcentral.
AGUGAACGCUGGCGGUAGGCCUAACACAUGCAAGUCGAACGGCAGCACAGUAAGAGCUUGCUCUUACGGGUGGCGAGUGGCGGACGGGUGAGGAAUACAUCGGAAUCUACUUUUUCGUGGGGGAUAACGUAGGGAAACUUACGCUAAUACCGCAUACGACCUACGGGUGAAAGCAGGGGAUCUUCGGACCUUGCGCGAUUGAAUGAGCCGAUGUCGGAUUAGCUAGUUGGCGGGGUAAAGGCCCACCAAGGCGACGAUCCGUAGCUGGUCUGAGAGGAUGAGCAGCCACACUGGAACUGAGACACGGUCCAGACUCCUACGGGAGGCAGCAGUGGGGAAUAUUGGACAAUGGGCGCAAGCCUGAUCCAGCCAUACCGCGUGGGUGAAGAAGGCCUUCGGGUUAAAGCCCUUUUGUUGGGAAAGAAAAGCAGCAGGUUAAUACCCCGCUGUUCUGACGGUACCCAAAGAAUAAGCACCGGCUAACUUCGUG